Long non-coding RNA from Maniola jurtina (meadow brown), 211 nucleotides. RefSeq lists it as uncharacterized. NCBI's taxonomy places the organism in Eukaryota, Metazoa, Arthropoda, Insecta, Lepidoptera, Nymphalidae. The record is from RefSeq and is a predicted model, not a curated record. The transcript has 4 exons.
AGUAUAGUUCAUACAAAAUUACUUCUCAUUUCAACUCUGUAGGUCAACUGUCAUGUGAAAAUUACGGUUCACCUUUAGAAUAAGAACUAAAAUCGUACUUUUGACAUGAUAUUUGACACAUAAAUUUAAAAUUGACGCGUGAGAACUCAUUUUUUACGCACUAUAGUCAUUAUUUAUAAUUUUAAAAAUGUGAUAUUUAUGUGGUUAUAUU